This 497-nucleotide ribosomal RNA is filed under the name uncultured bacterium. RNAcentral describes it as "partial 16S ribosomal RNA". It matches the Rfam family "Bacterial small subunit ribosomal RNA", at positions 28 to 507 of the family's 1533-position model. The record is from RNAcentral.
GAUGAACGCUGGCGGCGUGCCUAAUACAUGCAAGUCGAGCGAACGGACGAGAAGCUUGCUUCUCUGAUGUUAGCGGCGGACGGGUGAGUAACACGUGGAUAACCUACCUAUAAGACUGGGAUAACUUCGGGAAACCGGAGCUAAUACCGGAUAAUAUUGUGAACCGCAUGGUUCAAAAGUGAAAGACGGUCUUGCUGUCACUUAUAGAUGGAUCCGAGCUGCAUUAGCUAGUUGGUAAGGUAACGGCCUACCAAGGCAACGAUGCAUAGCCGACCUGAGAGGGUGAUCGGCCACACUGGAACUGAGACACGGUCCAGACUCCUACGGGAGGCAGCAGUAGGGAAUCUUCCGCAAUGGGCGAAAGACUGACGGAGCCACGCCGCGUGAGUGAUGAAGGUCUUCGGAUCGUAAAACUCUGUUAUUAGGGAAGAACAUAUGUGUAAGUAACUGUGCACAUCUUGACGUUACCUACUCAGAAAGCCACGGCUAACUACGUG